RNAcentral lists this ribosomal RNA (440 nucleotides) under uncultured bacterium. RNAcentral's name for it is "partial 16S ribosomal RNA". It matches the Rfam family "Bacterial small subunit ribosomal RNA", at positions 338 to 795 of the family's 1533-position model. The record is from RNAcentral.
CCUACGGGGUGCAGCAGUGGGGAAUAUUGCACAAUGGGGGAAACCCUGAUGCAGCGACGCCGCGUGAGUGAAGAAGUAUUUCGGUAUGGUAAGCUCUAUCAGCCGGGAAGAAAAUCACGGUACCUGAUUAAGAAGCCCCAGCUAACUACGUGCCAGCAGCCGCGGUAAUACGUAGGGGGCAAGCGUUAUCCGGCUUUACUGGGUGGAAAGGGAGCGUAGGCGGCAGCAGAAGUCUGGAGUGAAAUGCUGGGGCUUAAACCCGGAACUGCUUUGGAAACUGUGCAGCUAGAGUGCAGGAGAGGUAAGUGGAAUGCCUAGUGUAGCGGUGAAAUGCGUAGAUAUUAGGAGGAACACCAGUGGCGAAGGCGGCAUACUGGACUGUAACUGACACUGAGGCUCGAAAGCGUGGGGAGCAAACAGGAUUAGAUACCCCUGUAGUC